AUGGUUGGUGCGGUGCUCGGCACUGAUCUUUGUCCUAAUAACCUCUGUCAGUUCUACUCCUGGUGCUAUGCCUUCCUUCCCCAUGGGGAACGCUACUUCACCAUGGGACUAGCGGCAGUUUGCUGGGCUAUUUGGAACUGCAGAAACCGAGCUACUUUUAAACAUAAGAGAAUGUCAUCUCCUUUUGAGAUUGUUUUCACAGCUUGUGUGCAUCUGAAUUACUGGGCAGGGCUCUUGAAAGGCGCGGAGUGGGAGGAGCUGGAGCACGGCGCGCUGUCGUUGAAGGAUACUGCUAAGAGGAUGAUGAGGUUGUGUGCGACAUCUCACGUCGAGGGAGAUCUGGAAUGA
Molecule: ribosomal RNA, 348 nt
Filed under: Triticum aestivum (bread wheat)
Lineage: Eukaryota; Viridiplantae; Streptophyta; Magnoliopsida; Poales; Poaceae
Description: partial small subunit ribosomal RNA
Source: RNAcentral